RNAcentral lists this transfer RNA (85 nucleotides) under Virgisporangium aurantiacum. RNAcentral's name for it is "tRNA-Pro". The record is from RNAcentral. Lineage: Bacteria; Bacillati; Actinomycetota; Actinomycetes; Micromonosporales; Micromonosporaceae.
CGCCGUGAUGGGCGCCGGGAUCAGCGACUGGGGAAUGCUCGCCGCCACCGGCGAACAUGGGCCGUUCGAGUCCGCCCUCGGCGGC